UGCAUUCAUGGUGACCACUGGUGACAUGUGAAUCAUAAAUUAUAAAUACAUCUCCAGAACUCUGAAAUCUGU
Sciurus vulgaris (Eurasian red squirrel) is the source of this 72-nucleotide small nucleolar RNA. Ensembl annotates it as small nucleolar RNA, C/D box 114-24. NCBI's taxonomy places the organism in Eukaryota, Metazoa, Chordata, Mammalia, Rodentia, Sciuridae. The record is from Ensembl.